RNAcentral lists this ribosomal RNA (468 nucleotides) under uncultured bacterium. RNAcentral describes it as "partial 16S ribosomal RNA". It matches the Rfam family "Bacterial small subunit ribosomal RNA", at positions 28 to 507 of the family's 1533-position model. The record is from RNAcentral.
GACGAACGCUGGCGGCGUGCUUAACACAUGCAAGUCGAACGGGAAGUCCCUGCUUUUGGGGGGUGCUCGAGGGGCGAACGGGUGAGUAACACGUGAGUAACCUACCAUUGACUUUGGGAUGACUUCAGGACACUUGGUCUAAUACCAGAUAGGAGCUCCUGCUGUUUGGUGGGGGUUGGUAAGUUUCGGCGGUUGGGGUUGGAAACGCGGCUUAACAGCUUGUUGGUUGGGUAGUGGAUUACCAAGGCUUUGACGGGUAGCCUGCCUGCGAGGGUGACCUGCCACAGUGGGACUGAGAUGCGGCCCAGCCUCCUACGGGAGGCAGGAGUGGAGAGUAGAGUACAGUGGAAUGAAGCAUGAUGCGGCAACGCAGUGUGGGGGAUGACGGCCAGCGGGUAGUAAACCGCUGUCGCCUGUGACGAAGUGUUAGUGACGGUAAUGGGUAAAGAAGCACCGGCUAACUCCGUG